GACGAACCACACGAACGUUAUUCGGAAUUACUGGGCUUAAAGGGUGCGUAGGCGGCGCAGAAAGUUGGGUGUGAAAUCCCUCGGCUCAACCGAGGAACUGCGCCCAAAACUACUGUGCUUGAGGAAGAUAGAGGUAAGCGGAACUUACGGUGGAGCGGUGAAAUGCGUUGAUAUCGUAAGGAACACCUGUGGCGAAAGCGGCUUACUGGGUCUUUUCUGACGCUGAUGCACGAAGCCAGGGAG
Molecule: ribosomal RNA, 243 nt
Filed under: uncultured bacterium
Lineage: Bacteria
Description: partial 16S ribosomal RNA
Rfam family: Bacterial small subunit ribosomal RNA
Source: RNAcentral